GACGAACGCUGGCGACGUGCUUAACACAUGCAAGUCGAACGGAAAGGCCCUGCUUUUGUGGGGUGCUCGAGUGGCGAACGGGUGAGUAACACGUGAGUAACCUGCCCUUGACUUUGGGAUAACUUCAGGAAACUGGGGCUAAUACCGGAUAGGAGCUCCUGCUGCAUGGUGGGGGUUGGAAAGUUUCGGCGGUUGGGGAUGGACUCGCGGCUUAUCAGCUUGUUGGUGGGGUAGUGGCUUACCAAGGCUUUGACGGGUAGCCGGCCUGAGAGGGUGACCGGCCACAUUGGGACUGAGAUACGGCCCAGACUCCUACGGGAGGCAGCAGUGGGGAAUAUUGCACAAUGGGCGGAAGCCUGAUGCAGCAACGCCGCGUGCGGGAUGACGGCCUUCGGGUUGUAAACCGCCUUCGCCUGUGACGAAGCGUGAGUGACGGUAAUGGGUAAAGAAGCACCGGCUAACUACGUG
This 468-nucleotide ribosomal RNA is filed under the name uncultured bacterium. RNAcentral describes it as "partial 16S ribosomal RNA". It matches the Rfam family "Bacterial small subunit ribosomal RNA", at positions 28 to 507 of the family's 1533-position model. The record is from RNAcentral.